Molecule: non-coding RNA, 28 nt
Filed under: Mus musculus (house mouse)
Lineage: Eukaryota; Metazoa; Chordata; Mammalia; Rodentia; Muridae
Source: RNAcentral
AAGCCUUUCUAUUCCGUGCUCUGGGUGA